This 194-nucleotide ribosomal RNA is filed under the name uncultured bacterium. RNAcentral describes it as "partial 16S ribosomal RNA". It matches the Rfam family "Bacterial small subunit ribosomal RNA", at positions 338 to 524 of the family's 1533-position model. The record is from RNAcentral.
CCUACGGGAGGCAGCAGUGGGGAAUAUUGGACAAUGGGCGCAAGCCUGAUCCAGCCAUGCCGCGUGUGUGAAGAAGGUCUUCGGAUUGUAAAGCACUUUAAGUUGGGAGGAAGGGCAUUAACCUAAUACGUUAGUGUUUUGACGUUACCGACAGAAUAAGCACCGGCUAACUCUGUGCCAGCAGCCGCGGUAAU